RNAcentral lists this ribosomal RNA (497 nucleotides) under uncultured bacterium. RNAcentral describes it as "partial 16S ribosomal RNA". It matches the Rfam family "Bacterial small subunit ribosomal RNA", at positions 28 to 507 of the family's 1533-position model. The record is from RNAcentral.
GAUGAACGCUGGCGGCGUGCCUAAUACAUGCAAGUCGAGCGAACAGACGAGGAGCUUGCUCCUCUGACGUUAGCGGCGGACGGGUGAGCAACACGUGGAUAACCUACCUAUAAGACUGGGAUAACUUCGGGAAACCGGAGCUAAUACCGGAUAAUUUAUUGAACCGCAUGGUUCAAUAGUGAAAGACGGUUUUGCUGUCACUUAUAGAUGGAUUCGCGCCGCAUUAGCUAGUUGGUAAGGUAACGGCUUACCAAGGCAACGAUGCGUAGCCGACCUGAGAGGGUGAUCGGCCACACUGGAACUGAGACACGGUCCAGACUCCUACGGGAGGCAGCAGUAGGGAAUCUUCCGCAAUGGGCGAAAGCCUGACGGAGCAACGCCGCGUGAGUGAUGAAGGUCUUCGGAUCGUAAAACUCUGUUAUUAGGGAAGAACAAAUGUGUAAGUAACUAUGCACGUCUUGACGGUACCCAAUCAGAAAGCCACGGCUAACUACGUG